UUUUUUUGUAACAGAGAUAUUUCUUCGGAGCGAAGAUGAUAGUGACUACAGGUCAUCUGGAUGGGUGUAAGAUAUUUAAAGAGCAAAGAAGAUAUAUAUAUAUAUGUAGUGCGUUAUGGACAACUCUGUCAAUGCGCUGAUAUGUACAGCUUGAAUAGUAUGAAUAGAAGACUAGUGGGGGACCAUACACAAUGUUAAUAUGCCAUGCCAAUACCACUAAACCGCAAACCUUGGCAGAUUAUGAAAUGAAAUGUAAAAGACACCGAGGCAGAAUAGUUAUGAGAAGUUGCAUAAUUAAUUAAUGCAAUGCGUAAUUUGCGAUAAAUCGAUAGACUUCAAGUGACUCGAGCUACUGAGUGUAAAGAGAGAAAUGAUGAAUAGAAUUUAUAGAAGGGAAGGCUACUUUAACUUGUGUAUUUUAUAACGCUAUAUGCAGGUGUAAAUUUAUUUUGUGCUAAAUUAUCUGUCACGCCUUCUGUUUAACUGAAAUAUUUCUCAAUAGUAAAAUAAAUAUAUUUUAAAAUAAUACUUGCAAACACUCGUUAAAAUGCACUCGCGAAAAAAUUUUUUAAGUAAAUUGUUUGAACAAAAUAAAUUUCUAAGUAAUAUUCUUCAUUGUACAAGCAAUUUUAUACUGGUAAUAAUUUAGUAGGACAAUUUACUUGUUAGACUGUCGCGGUGUAUUAUACUGUUGAGGUAACUAACUGAUAAAAUAAGUGCAAUUGUCUUUUUAAGGAUUUAAAAAAAAAAAAAAAAAAAAAAAAAAGAUAAGACAUCGAUAGUUGAUAAACAAAAAGUAGUUUAAUUGUUAGAAUAAUUGACUUAGGAAAAAUUAUAAGUCUGAAGUUUAAGUUCUAGGCAAAUAAGUAAACAUGUAUUACAAUUUAAAGUGCAAUUGAAGAGUUAUGAAUCAUUAUAAUGA
Cotesia glomerata is the source of this 922-nucleotide long non-coding RNA. RefSeq lists it as uncharacterized. The record is from RefSeq and is a predicted model, not a curated record. The transcript has 2 exons. NCBI's taxonomy places the organism in Eukaryota, Metazoa, Arthropoda, Insecta, Hymenoptera, Braconidae.